UGCCUACGGGAGGCAGCAGUGGGGAAUAUUGCACAAUGGGGGAAACCCUGAUGCAGCAACGCCGCGUGAGUGAAGAAGUCAUUCGUGAUGUAAAGCUCUAUCAGCAGGGAAGAAAAUGACGGUACCUGAGUAAGAAGCCCCGGCUAACUACGUGCCAGCAGCCGCGGUAAUACGUAGGGGGCAAGCGUUAUCCGGAAUUACUGGGUGUAAAGGAGCGUAGACGGCAAUGCAAGUCCGGAGUGGAAUGCGGCAGCUCAACUGCCGAACUGCUCCGGAAACUGUAUGGCUUGAGUGCAGGAGGGGUA
RNAcentral lists this ribosomal RNA (305 nucleotides) under uncultured bacterium. RNAcentral describes it as "bacterial SSU rRNA". It matches the Rfam family "Bacterial small subunit ribosomal RNA", at positions 335 to 659 of the family's 1533-position model. The record is from RNAcentral.